GAUGAACGCUGGCGGCGUGCUUAACACAUGCAAGUCGAACGAAGCACUUUUGAUUCUUCGGAGGAGGAAGUGACUGAGUGGCGGACGGGUGAGUAACUCGUGGGUAACCUGCCUUAUACAGGGGGAUAACAGUUAGAAAUGACUGCUAAUACCGCAUCAGCCGAUAGAGUCGCAUGACUUAGUCGGAAAAGAUUUAUCGGUAUAAGAUGGACCCGCGUCUGAUUAGCUAGGUGGUGAGGUAAUGGCCCACCAAGGCGACGAUCAGUAGCCGGCUUGAGAGAGUGAACGGCCACAUUGGGACUGAGACACGGCCCAAACUCCUACGGGAGGCAGCAGUGGGGAAUAUUGCACAAUGGGGGAAACCCUGAUGCAGCAACGCCGCGUGAAGGAAGAAGUAUUUCGGUAUGUAAACUUCUAUCAGCAGGGAAGAAAAUGACGGUACCUGACUAAGAAGCCCCGGCUAACUACGUGCCAGCAGCCGCGGUAA
RNAcentral lists this ribosomal RNA (487 nucleotides) under uncultured bacterium. RNAcentral's name for it is "partial 16S ribosomal RNA". It matches the Rfam family "Bacterial small subunit ribosomal RNA", at positions 28 to 523 of the family's 1533-position model. The record is from RNAcentral.